CAUGAAGGAGCCGAAUGACAUGAAAUUUUCAUGUUCGGCCAAGCUAACGAUGCGGGUUCGAUUCCCGCUACCCGCU
Molecule: transfer RNA, 76 nt
Filed under: Picea brachytyla var. complanata
Lineage: Eukaryota; Viridiplantae; Streptophyta; Pinopsida; Pinales; Pinaceae
Description: tRNA-Gly
Source: RNAcentral